This 506-nucleotide ribosomal RNA is filed under the name uncultured bacterium. Its description in RNAcentral is "bacterial SSU rRNA". It matches the Rfam family "Bacterial small subunit ribosomal RNA", at positions 8 to 518 of the family's 1533-position model. The record is from RNAcentral.
AGAGUUUGAUUAUGGCUCAGGAUGAACGCUGGCGGCGUGCUUAACACAUGCAAGUCGAACGGAGUUUUAACGGAAGUUUCGGAUGGAAGUUUAAAACUUAGUGGCGGACGGGUGAGUAACGCGUGGGUAACCUGCCUCAUACAGGGGGAUAACAGUUAGAAAUGACUGCUAACACCGCAUAAUAUAGCGAAACCGCAUGAUUUUGCUAUCAAAUAUUUAUAGGUAUGAGAUGGGCCCGCGUCUGGUUAGCUAGUUGGUGGGGUAAAAGCCUACCAAGGCGACGAUCAGUAGCCGGCUUGAGAGAGUGACCGGCCACAUUGGGACUGAGACACGGCCCAAACUCCUACGGGAGGCAGCAGUGGGGAAUAUUGGACAAUGGGGGAAACCCUGAUCCAGCGACGCCCGCGUGAGUGAAGAAGUAUUUCGGUAUGUAAAGCUCUAUCAGCAGGGAAGAUAAUGACAGUACCUGACUAAGAAGCCCCGGCUAACUACGUGCCAGCAGCAGC